Molecule: ribosomal RNA, 492 nt
Filed under: uncultured bacterium
Lineage: Bacteria
Description: partial 16S ribosomal RNA
Rfam family: Bacterial small subunit ribosomal RNA
Source: RNAcentral
AGUGAACGCUGGCGGUAGGCCUAACACAUGCAAGUCGAACGGCAGCACAGUAAGAGCUUGCUCUUACGGGUGGCGAGUGGCGGACGGGUGAGGAAUACAUCGGAAUCUACUUUUUCGUGGGGGAUAACGUAGGGAAACUUACGCUAAUACCGCAUACGACCUACGGGUGAAAGCAGGGGAUCUUCGGACCUUGCGCGAUUGAAUGAGCCGAUGUCGGAUUAGCUAGUUGGCGGGGUAAAGGCCCACCAAGGCGACCAUCCGUAGCUGGUCUGAGAGGAUGAUCAGCCACACUGGAACUGAGACACGGUCCAGACUCCUACGGGAGGCAGCAGUGGGGAAUAUUGGACAAUGGGCGCAAGCCUGAUCCAGCCAUACCGCGUGGGUGAAGAAGGCCUUCGGGUUGUAAAGCCCUUUUGUUGGGAAAGAAAAGCAGCAGGUUAAUACCCCGCUGUUCUGACGGUACCCAAAGAAUAAGCACCGGCUAACUUCGUG